This is a long non-coding RNA of Cucurbita moschata (crookneck pumpkin), 101 nucleotides long. RefSeq lists it as uncharacterized. The record is from RefSeq and is a predicted model, not a curated record. The transcript is spliced from 3 exons. Lineage: Eukaryota; Viridiplantae; Streptophyta; Magnoliopsida; Cucurbitales; Cucurbitaceae.
UAGUUGUUGAGAAGUGACUUAAUUUUAAGCGGAAGGGAUUCUUUCUUUAGGGUUUUAAUAAAAAAGGUUAGGUGGGUGACGUGUAAUCAGCUUUGAUACCA